UCACUGAAGUUGAACAGGUGUGCGCAAUCAACCCAGGGGACGCAUGUAUCGCUGCAGUGUGGGCAGUAUCAGAGGGAAAUAGAUAGGAUGAGAUCUGCCCACAGUACAGUAGGUGGCGGUAAUGCACUAUAACUUUGGAGGCCAAACGCCGAUAAACACCACCGAAGAAGAAGACGAAUCAAAACCCAGAAGGGAAAUGUAAGGGACCUUUGAAGAAGGCCCCAGCAUUCCCGAAAUCUUACACUUGACUGGCUUCUUGGAACAGAGCAGCUUUAAAGAGCCAUGGUGGCCUAAAGAGACCGAACAAGCCCAUAGAAGGACGAUACCUAAUUAGCAGGGUUGAAUGGCCACGGUGACACUGUGAAUACAACUGUUUAACUGAAUACAUCAUCACCAUUCUGAGUGCUGCCCUCUCCCCAGACAGAGAGACAAUAGCACAUUGUUUAACAAACUAGCACUUAUUAUGCUAUUGUUGUCUGUGUUCCAGACCAUGUCAUCACUAUUGUCUGUGUUCUAAUCCCGUCAUCACUAUUGUUGUCUGUAUUCCAAAUCCUGUCAUCACUAUUGCUGGUCUUUGGUGAAAAUAAAUCUGUGUAAAAGAUG
Oncorhynchus kisutch (coho salmon) is the source of this 603-nucleotide long non-coding RNA. RefSeq lists it as uncharacterized. The record is from RefSeq and is a predicted model, not a curated record. NCBI's taxonomy places the organism in Eukaryota, Metazoa, Chordata, Actinopteri, Salmoniformes, Salmonidae. The transcript has 4 exons.